Molecule: ribosomal RNA, 500 nt
Filed under: uncultured bacterium
Lineage: Bacteria
Description: partial 16S ribosomal RNA
Rfam family: Bacterial small subunit ribosomal RNA
Source: RNAcentral
AUUGAACGCUGGCGGCAUGCCUUACACAUGCAAGUCGAACGGCAGCACGGGAGUAAUCCUGGUGGCGAGUGGCGAACGGGUGAGUAAUAUAUCGGAACGUGCCCAGUCGUGGGGGAUAACGCAGCGAAAGCUGUGCUAAUACCGCAUACGAUCUCUGGAUGAAAGCGGGGGACCGUAAGGCCUCGCGCGAUUGGGGCGGCCGAUAUCAGAUUAGCUAGUUGGUGGGGUAAAGGCCCACCAAGGAGAAGAUCUGUAGCUGGUCUGAGAGGACGACCAGCCACACUGGAACUGAGACACGGUCCAGACUCCUACGGGAGGCAGCAGUGGGGAAUUUUGGACAAUGGGCGCAAGCCUGAUCCAGCAAUGCCGCGUGCAGGAUGAAGGCCUUCGGGUUGUAAACUGCUUUUGUACGGAACGAAACGGCGAGCUCUAAUAAAGUUUGCUAAUGACGGUACCGUAAGAAUAAGCACCGGCUAACUACGUGCCAGCAGCCGCAGUAA